UACGGAAGGCAGCAGUGGGGAAUAUUGCACAAUGGGCGCAAGCCUGAUGCAGCCAUGCCGCGUGUAUGAAAAAGGCCUUCGGGUUGUAAAGUACUUUCAGUCGUGAGGAAGGUGUUAAGGUUAAUAACCUUAGCAAUUGACGUUAGCGACAGAAGAAGCACCGGCUAACUCCGUGCCAGCAGCCGCGGUAAUACGGAGGGUGCGAGCGUUAAUCGGAAUUACUGGGCGUAAAGGGCACGCAGGCGGUUAAUUAAGUUGGAUGUGAAAUCCCCGGGCUUAACCUGGGAAUGGCAUUCAAGACUGGUUAGCUAGAGUCUUGUAGAGGGGGUAGAAUUCCAUGUGUAGCGGUGAAAUGCGUAGAGAUGUGGAGGAAAUACCGGUGGCGGAAGGCGGCCCCUGGACAAAGACUGACGCUCAUGUGCGAAAGCGUGGGGAGCAAACAGGGAUUAGAUACC
RNAcentral lists this ribosomal RNA (455 nucleotides) under uncultured bacterium. RNAcentral describes it as "bacterial SSU rRNA". It matches the Rfam family "Bacterial small subunit ribosomal RNA", at positions 340 to 786 of the family's 1533-position model. The record is from RNAcentral.